UACAGAGGUCUCAAGCGUUGUUCGGAUUCAUUGGGCGUAAAGGGUGCGUAGGCGGCGCGGUAAGUCGGGUGUGAAAUCUCGGAGCUUAACUCCGAAACUGCAUUCGAUACUGCCGUGCUUGAGGACUGGAGAGGAGACUGGAAUUUACGGUGUAGCGGUGAAAUGCGUAGAUAUCGUAAGGAAGACCAGUGGCGAAGGCGGGGUCUCUGGACAGUUCCUGACGCUGAGGCACGAAGGCCAGGGGGAGCAAACGGG
Molecule: ribosomal RNA, 255 nt
Filed under: uncultured bacterium
Lineage: Bacteria
Description: partial 16S ribosomal RNA
Rfam family: Bacterial small subunit ribosomal RNA
Source: RNAcentral